GGGCACCCGUGGGCCUUGGCCUCCUCGUCUAAGAGUGGAGGUGAGGAGCCCGAGCUCCCGGGGGGGGCUGUAGGCGGAACAAGCUCAGCCAGGCCUGGCCCCUGCUCCUUGUGCUCGUCGUCGUGGUCACCAUCACACACCGGGAGCCCGGCGGGCUUAGCUGCCCCCAUCGUCCUGGCCACGGCCCGCCGGGAGCUCCCCUGGCCCAUCGUCCAGCCGAGGCGGGUCAGGGUCAGCAAGCAGGAGCCGAGAGCCCCCGGGUCAGCCCUCCACGCCUGUCCCCCUCGGGAGUGCAUCUGGCCCUCGGAGGACAGAGGGCUUCGAGAGCGCGCCCGGAGGUUCCAGCGCAGCUCCCCGUAGACCCCGCACCCAAGAACGGCCCUCCUGGGGCGGGAAGGUCGGCCUCCUGGGCAGAGCGCCCAGCUUCGGGAGAGGUGCCCACCCGGCCGGCCGGAUCCGCCCCACCCACCCCGGCGACCCGUGGGGUGACAGAUGUCGCAGCCAGGGCGCCCUCACGGCCGGGACAGGGCUUUGAGAUAGGAGUAGAAGUUUGCUGAAUGAGGUGAGGGGGAAGGGCCCUCAGGCACAGCGUGGCCGUGGGCCGGGGCCGUGGGAGGAGCCAGCGGAGGUGUUGGACUUGCGGCUGCAGGCGCGGGAGCCUCGCUGGGAGGGUCGCUUGGUGGGGACUCCCUGUGUUCCGGUCAAGGCGCAGCGGUCCCCAGGGGCUCCCUGGGCCUCUCUCUGAAUCACAAAAGGAACCCGUGUCCACAUUGACCCUCGAGACUAGACUGUGCUCCUGGAAGAAACCCCUGGUCUCGUGACUUCCCCGCGGGCUCCCGAAACCCCAGGGCUCCACGCGCCUGCUGGGCGGGUGGGAGCCAACGUGCCCCCCACGCCGCGGGUGCCGUUUCCCUCCGUCCGUCCACAGGAGCACACGUGUAUGUGUUUGUCAGGAUCUACCUAUCUGAGGGAGAGCGUGGGAGGGUGCGCACGCGUGGCGGGGGAGCGGCGCAGGGGGAUCUCCGGCAGACCCCUCGCGGGGGCAGGGCCUGAUGCACGGCUCCAUCCCACGACCCCGAGAUCAGGCCCUGGGUGGAAACGGGGAGUCAGAGGCUCCACCAGCUGAGCCCCCCCGGCACCCCCUGAGCCCCGAGCUUCAACCCCGUCUCCGUGGCUGCUCUGGGACGCGCGAGGCCGGUCGGGCCGGUCCCUGAAGAUGGACGCGCGUGUGUCCGGGCCUCUCUCUCGGCCCCACGUCAGCAGGGCUGCGAGGACGGGAGUGUUGACACCCCCGCCCCCCGGCUUGCGGGGACAGCUCGGGCAGGGGUUACUGUCGCGCAGCCUCAGACCCUGGCCGAGGUGCCUAAGGACGCCGUCCCCUCACCAGCCGGGCCCUUCGAGGGAGCCCCGGGCCAUCAGGGGGGGUCCGACCGACACCUCGGACCUGCUGUCCCUCAGUGCCCCCCGAGUGAGGGAGCUGGACGUCCCUCCGUGUCCUGAGGCGGCCGAGCCCUGGGCCUCCGGGCAGACGCGCUGGCCCCGGGAGGAGGCCGCUCCGGACUUUGAGCCCGCGGCGCCCGGGAGGGUGUUUCCCGGCGGAGACCGCCCUGACCUUGGGCAGCACCCUAACUGCAACGGGGGUGGGCGGGUGGAGGGCUCUCCCAGCCAUAAAGCCGGGGUGACAGGCUCAGCGGCCCAGCCGCACCCCACUUCCCCGGCGGCCCAAGCCGAGCAGAGCUGCCGCCCCUCAGGCAGCCCGGGCACACUCGGCCACCGUCGCGCAGGCCCACCCACCCCUGUUUGUCACCACUGGGGAAACUGAGUCCCCGGGUGGGGGGCGGAGUAGCAUGGGAACUGACUGGGUCGCAGGGUCCCUUGGUUCUUCGGUCAUUGCCCCCCACUUUACGGGGCGGGGCCCCGUGUGGGGCGCCAAGCCCAGGGCCACAGGCAUCCAGCCUGCCAGGUGCUUCCGGGGGACGCGGUCUCUGCUCCUGCCAGGGCCCGGGUCCCACCCCGACCCCUGUGCUCCUGGGGGACAAGUCUAGGAACGCGGGCCUGGGAGUGAGAGAUGCUCAAACUACACUUCCUUCCUGCUGCACUCUGCCAUGGGCCGAGCCGCUCCGUGCCUCGGUUUCCCCAUCUGCAAAGAGCGGUCUGUGGUAGCCCCCCUCCCCGGGCUGUUGGGGGGCGGGUGGGUGAGGCCCGUGCCUGCGUGUCUCCCCAGAGAGGGGAGUGCCCUUUGGGACCCGGUGCCGGGGGGGCCAGGAGGGACAGUGUGCACUGCCCGCCCCGCAGAGCCUCCCCAGGGCUGGCCUCUAGGCUCUGAGCAGGGGGCUGGGGCCCGUGGCUUCACAGGCUGGCCUCACCUCUCAGGGUUGUGCAUGCGCCCGCCUGCCUGCCCACCUGCCUGCCCACCUGCCCACCUGCCCACUUGCCCAUUUGCCCACCUGCCCCCUACCUGCCCGUCUGCCCACCUGGCCGCUUGCCCGCCUGCCCACCUACCUGCCCGCCUACCUGCCCACUUGCCUGCUCAUCUGCCCACCUGCCCACCUGCCUGCCCACUCACCCACCUAACUGCCAGGCGGCGCCCCCUGCCGGCCACCUCCACCUCUGCUCCACCUUCCAGUGAGGCCACCUGCUCCCGCUUCCUCUUCCUUUUCCUCCCCACCCCUCCUCUGUGUGGCAUCCCUGGUCCUCAAGGCUCUCCUCUCCUUUCCUCUUUCUGUCCCCCCCUCCAGGAAGCUCUCCGGGGCUCCCCUCCCCCUCAGCUCCAUCCCUGGGCGCCUCUGCUCCCGCCCUGCCCAGGGUCUUGCUGGGGUUCGGGUGGGAGCUGUCCCCCGCGUGGCCGUGACCGCCAGGCUGCAGUUCUGAGCCAGCUCCCUUUCUGGGCCCCUGUGGGCGUCCGGCCGAGAGGGUCCUCCGGGGGCAGCCGCCGUUCCCGGUUCCCGAGGAAGCACAGCUGGGCCGGAGGCUGCAGAGGCCGCGGGGGCCUCAUGUCGGGGGCCUCACGCUCGCCAGACCCUGCCAUCCUCCCGCUGUGGGCGACUGUUCCUACUUAUCAUUUCUAGGGGCGACGGGACUAGCCCUGCGCCUGGGAUGGCCUUCCUGGGGCCUGGGGGGUGCCGUGGCCUCGCAGGGGACGGAGUGGAGGGGAUGCCCCUGUGCCCCAUGCGCCCCAAGCGUCCUUGAGGCCCCGCGUCCCCCUGCUCUUCCCUCAGCCCCUGUGCUCCCCAUGCCCCCCAGUCCCCAUGUCCUCAAGUCUCCCACCCCUGUGCCCCCCAUGACCCCCGUGUCCCCUGCACCUCCACGCCCCCACCCCUACGGCUCACAGGACGGGGAAGAACAAACAAACCCACAGAGACGGAACCAGAUCACGGCAGAUGGUGGAGACCGCCGGGAACAAGCGGACCAGAGGGCAGGGGUUACGUGACCCAAGCCUUCUGGGGGCCUUGCAGGGGGGGGACGACCGUCCAGAGGCAGGACUGGCCAUGCGAAGGCCUGGGGUGUCUUAGGCGCAGGAACAGCACGUGCAGAGGCGCCCCUACCCCGGGGCUUCUCCCGGUCCAAGUCCCCCUGCCACCCCGCGGGGCCCGCCGGCUCCACCUGCUGGGGGGCCCAGGUUCAGCCGGUGCCGGGGCUGGGGGCUCCCCAGGAGCCGCUGAUGAUGCGCUGGGGGGCCCAGCAUCCAAGGGGAACCCGUGAGGCCUGCAGGCUGGAGCCGGGAGGGAGCCUGCGGCUGAGGUGCAGGCCCGGGGCUCGGGCGCCUGAAGGAGCAGCUGCGGCGCGGCCUGAUGUGAGCCCCGGGCCGCUCCCCCGGGCCCGGAGGGGUCGCCUGGCUCCGCAGACCCCGGGAGCCCCGCCACCCGCCACCCCACCGCCUGCUUCCUGCAGCCCGGCGCUCCCUUUGCCAGCAGGGCCCGUGGGCGAGCGUCCAUGUGGGCGGGUCUGGGCCACGGCCUUGCGCGUGAUGUGGGUCCCCCCAGCCUGCGCCACCCGCACCCUAAGACCUUGGCGUCAGGACCUGGCUGCGGAGACGGGAAGACAGCGGGGGCCUACCAGGGUGCCUGGGGCACGGUUCAAGAGGCAGGAUGCCCCGAGGAUGCCACUGCGGGCGCCCCCAACGCAGAGCGCCCCUGCCCGGAACUGAGGAGGCCGCAGAGACGCCGGUGCCCGCCACCCCGCGGCAGGCCCUGAUUUCACAUCCUGCUUCCUGGCUGUGAGGCCUGAGACAGUUGCGUCAUUUGUCUUCUGUAAAAGACGGGCACAGCUGUGGCCCUGUGAAGCAUGGGCGCGAAACCUCAGUAUGUGACGGUGUAAAGCCUAGUACCCACCAGAGAUAGAAGGUGUGGCGAGACAAUGUUGCUGUGCCAUCUCAUGUCCACCACCACCACCACCAC
RNAcentral lists this long non-coding RNA (4397 nucleotides) under Canis lupus familiaris (dog). RNAcentral's name for it is "lncRNA (ENSCAFG00845017277.1)". Lineage: Eukaryota; Metazoa; Chordata; Mammalia; Carnivora; Canidae. The record is from RNAcentral.